UACGAAGGGGGCUAGCGUUGCUCGGAAUCACUGGGCGUAAAGCGCACGUAGGCGGGUUCUUAAGUCAGGGGUGAAAUCCUGGAGCUCAACUCCAGAACUGCCUUUGAUACUGGGAAUCUCGAGUCCGGGAGAGGUGAGUGGAACUGCGAGUGUAGAGGUGAAAUUCGUAGAUAUUCGCAAGAACACCAGUGGCGAAGACGGCUUACUGGUCCGGUUCUGACGCUGAGGCGUGAAAGCGUGGGGAGCAAACAGG
RNAcentral lists this ribosomal RNA (253 nucleotides) under uncultured bacterium. RNAcentral's name for it is "partial 16S ribosomal RNA". It matches the Rfam family "Bacterial small subunit ribosomal RNA", at positions 524 to 776 of the family's 1533-position model. The record is from RNAcentral.